RNAcentral lists this ribosomal RNA (198 nucleotides) under uncultured bacterium. RNAcentral describes it as "partial 16S ribosomal RNA". It matches the Rfam family "Bacterial small subunit ribosomal RNA", at positions 1302 to 1500 of the family's 1533-position model. The record is from RNAcentral.
AGGCUGCAACCCGCCUGCGUGAAGUUGGAAUCGCUAGUAAUCGCGGAUCAGCAUGCCGCGGUGAAUACGUUCCCGGGCCUUGUACACACCGCCCGUCACACCAUGAGAGUCGGGAACACCCGAAGUCCGUAGCCUAACCGCAAGGGGGCGCGGCCGAAGGUGGGUUCGAUAAUUGGGGUGAAGUCGUAACAAGGUACC